GCCAGGAGUUCAAGGUUAACGAAUCAGCAACAUAUGUUAAAUAAGGUGUCUCCAAACAGAAACACACAUAAAGCAAGGUUAUGUACUGAUCAGUUGAUGAACGUAUUGUUACUGGGGGGUCCUUGUUCCCAGAGCUCCCAAGAUGGUGGCGGGCCGCUUCCAAGAUGGGGGCAAGCCUCAUGUCCUCUGACCUGGGGUUAUUGGCCUCAUGGAUUCCAAGGAAUGGAAUCUUGGGCCAUGCGGUGAGUGUUAUAGCUCUAUUAGAAGCCGUGGGUCACGGAAGAGAACUGUGGGACCCAAUGACUAGUGUUCAGCUUGAUUAGGAUGAACCCAGGCACUUAGCCAUGCAGGAACAAAGGCAGGCCUUUAGCCUGAUCGGGAGCCUCAAUGGGCGCCUCACUGAAUCAGGAGCACAGCCCACACCCUGCUGGAUCUGGAGGGAUGGAAGUCAGCGGCGGGUCUGCAAUGUGGCAAACAGCAGUGGUGGACUGCGAGCUCAGCUCAGCUCCAGCUAUAACAAACACGGACCAGAAGAGAUUGCAGUUGCAAGAUUUAAUAGAGUGAAAACAGAGCUCCCCUCCCUCUUUGGGAGGGGACCCAAAGAGAUCCACUCUCCAUCCUUCUCUACUCUGUCUGUGCUGUGGGAGGCUGACCCCAUCUGUCUAUUUCAGUGGAGCACUGGAGCCUGCAAGAACUGAUUGUAUGCAUCUCCUCCUAACCCCGUGUUUGGUGACUGUGGUAGGAAUAUUUACACCAUGGACAUUGGCAAAUACUACAAGUAAGCUUGCAUGCAUACAUACAUGUCUCAGAACUUGUUGUUAAAUAUUUAUUUAACAGCCGACCACUGGGGCAACAUGAAUAUAUUCCUUGCCUCUGGCUUCUGCUUGGGUUUGGUCACUGGGUGGUACUUGCAAGGAAUUGAAGAGAGCAUGGUAAGAGUAUCCACUCUCCUGGCCUCCCUAACACAUUCUCAGAUUGGCUGAAUCCCUCUCCAAAGGUUUCAACCGUGGUCAAGCUUACUAAGACUUUCAUGUUUGUGUGCCUUUCCCCUUGUUUUAAAUAUCUCAGUUACCACUGUAUUGUGCCCUUGCAGUGAUGCUUAAAAUAAAAUGGACUCAGAGUUUGUCUUUAGGAGAAGUGAGAAAAUGGGGAACUGGCUUAAUAACCAACAAGGGGAGUGGGGUGGGGAGCAACAUCUUCCUUUUUAUUAACCUCUCAGAGAUCUAGUAUUUCCUUUCCUUAUGCAUAUAGGCUAAAAAUAAAGAAAAUCACAGUAGUAUUAGCAGUACAUGCAACUCCGUUACUAAUGCUUUCAUAACACAGAGUUGCUGCAGAUAUUUCAAGGGUGAGGGGCAGAGAUGGUCUUGGAUGGAAAGGCUCCCCAUGGGGAAGAGGGAGGGGGCAACACUAAAGAGAAAAGAAAAGUGAUUGAGGUCAGACAUGGUGGCUCAUGCCCGUAAUCCCAGCACUUUGGGAAGCUGAAACAGGAUGAUCACCUGAGGUCAGGAGUUCGAGACCAGCCUGGCCAACAUGGUGAAACCCCGUCUCUACUAAAAAUUCAAAAAAAAUUAGCUGGGCGUGGUGGUGCAUGCUUGUAAUCCAAGCUACUUGGGAGGCUGAGGUACGAGAAUCGUUCGAACCCAGGAGGUGGAGGUUGUACUGAGCCGAGAUAGCACCACUGCACUCCAACCUGGGCGACAGAGUGAGACUCUAUCUCAAAAGCAAACAAACAAAUAAACAAAAACAAAAUAAAACCCAAAAUGUGGUUGAGUUCCUGGGACUAGGGCAGGGAAGACAAGAAGAACAUGGAAGCUGGGCCUGAGAACUGACUAUGGGAACUCCACAGGAAAAAAAAGCUUUGGUGCCCUUUAACCCAGUGAUCCUGCUUCUGGGAAGCUAUCCUAGGAAAAUAGCUCAAAAGGAAAGCUAUCUAAACCCUUGACUCUUUCCAGCCUGUCUGGUUUGCGGGUACAGAUGAGAACCCAUUAACAUUGAUGCCAGUAGACCACACACUCACUGGGUCAACUACAUAACUGGAGGAACUCAAGUCCCUGCCUCAGAGUCACUCCAUCAGUUCUUGGAGGUCUCUGCCAGUGUCUUGCAUGUGGGAAGGACCAAGUUUCCUUCUGCCCUGCUCCAGCCUGCUUGUGGGGUCCUCAGCCCAUAACCCAUUGGAGGGUUGCCCCUCACUCUGCCUCUGCUGCCCCACUUGCAUGAAAAUGCUGCUUCUGGGCCAUUUUUGUAUUUCCCUGACCGCUGGCCACUGUGGUUUUCACGUCUGGACCAGGAAGUGACCCAUCUUUUCCCCCAGGCCUCGUAGGACCUUUCCUCAAAACGACAACUACUCCUGCCCAUUCACUUCUCUCUAAAAAUGAUGAGGACCACUGUCUCAGGUCAACUGUAGAACAAACCCAGCAUCUUCCAUUUUUCUUGCUGCCCCCAUCUCUCUUCCCAUUAGGCCGGAACCAGCCCACCUCAUUGCAUAUCAUCUUGUGGAAAGAGGUGCCUGAAAAAUUCUCUUAGGCUCCCAGGCUCUGUUC
Long non-coding RNA from Papio anubis (olive baboon), 2540 nucleotides. NCBI's taxonomy places the organism in Eukaryota, Metazoa, Chordata, Mammalia, Primates, Cercopithecidae. The record is from Ensembl.